UUCCGGUUGAUCCCGCCGGACCUGACUGCUAUCGGAUUGAUACUAAGCCAUGCGAGUCUUUGUAGUAAUACAAGGCAGACGGCUCAGUAACGCGUAGUCAACCUACCCUAUGGACGGGAAUAAUCUCGGGAAACUGAGGAUAAUACCCGGCGUACCACCAUUCCUGGAAUGGUUGGUGGUUAAAAUGAUUCGUCGCCGUAGGAUGGGACUGCGACCUAUCAGCUUGUUGGUGAGGUAAUGGCCCACCAAGGCGAUUACAGGUACGGGCUCUGAGAGGAGAAGCCCGGAGAUGGGUACUGAGACAAGGACCCAGGCCCUAUGGGGCGCAGCAGGCGAGAAAACUUUGCAAUGUGCGAAAGCACGACAAGGUUAAUCCGAGUGAUUUCUGCUAAAGAAAUCUUUUGCAAGUCAUAAAACCACUAGUGAAUAAGGGGUGGGCAAGUUCUGGUGUCAGCCGCCGCGGUAAAACCAGCACCUCAAGUGGUCAGGAGGAUUAUUGGGCCUAAAGCAUCCGUAGCCGGCUCUGUAAGUUUUCGGUUAAAUUCAUGUGCUCAACGCAUGGGCUGCCGAAAAUACUGCAUAGCUAGGGAGUGGGAGAGGUAGACGGUACUCAGUAGGAAGGGGUAAAAUCCUUUGAUCUAUUGAUGACCACCUGUGGCGAAGGCGGUCUACCAGAACACGUUCGACGGUGAGGGAUGAAAGCUGGGGGAGCAAACCGGAUUAGAUACCCGGGUAGUCCCAGCUGUAAACGAUGCAGACUCGAUGAUGCAUUGGCAUAUAGCCAGUGCAGUGUCGCAGGGAAGCCGUUAAGUCUGCCGCCUGGGAAGUACGUACGCAAGUAUGAAACUUAAAGGAAUUGGCGGGGGAGCACCACAAGGGGUGAAGCCUGCGGUUCAAUUGGAUUCAACGCCGGG
RNAcentral lists this ribosomal RNA (914 nucleotides) under uncultured marine archaeon. RNAcentral describes it as "bacterial SSU rRNA". It matches the Rfam family "Archaeal small subunit ribosomal RNA", at positions 1 to 922 of the family's 1478-position model. The record is from RNAcentral.